Molecule: ribosomal RNA, 253 nt
Filed under: uncultured bacterium
Lineage: Bacteria
Description: partial 16S ribosomal RNA
Rfam family: Bacterial small subunit ribosomal RNA
Source: RNAcentral
UACGGGGGGAGCAAGCGUUGUUCGGAUUUACUGGGCGUAAAGGGCGCGUAGGCGGCUUGAUAAGCGUGCGGUGAAAGCCCGGGGCUCAACCCCGGGUCGGCCGUGCGAACUGUCGAGCUGGAGCACUGUAGAGGCAGGUGGAAUUCCGGGUGUAGCGGUGGAAUGCGUAGAUAUCGAGAGGAACACCUGCGGCGAAGGCGGGUUGCUGGGCUGAUACUGACGCUCAUGCACGAAAGCGUGGGGAGCAAACAGG